AUUCCAGCUCCAAUAGCGUAUAUUAAAGUUGUUGCAGUUAAAAAGCUCGUAGUUGGAUUUUGGGUUCCAGUUUCGUUCGGUCUACUAAUUGUAGUACUGUCGAGCUGGCCCUUCUUCUCGGGGCCUAUAGGUGCACUUCACCGUGUGUUUAUAGUGUUCGGGACUUUUACCGUGAGAAAAUUAGAGUGUUCAAAGCAGGCUUUUGCUUGAAUAUUGCAGCAUGGAAUAAUGGAAUAGGAUCAUGAUCUUAUUUUGUUGGUUUCUAAGAUCAAGAUAAUGAUUAAUAGGGAUAGUUGGGGGCAUUAAUAUUUAGUUGUCAGAGGUGAAAUUCUUAGAUUUACAAAAGAUUAACUUCUGCGAAAGCAUUUGCCAAGGAUGUUUUCAUUA
Molecule: ribosomal RNA, 387 nt
Filed under: Ichthyosporea sp.
Lineage: Eukaryota; Ichthyosporea
Description: partial small subunit ribosomal RNA
Rfam family: Eukaryotic small subunit ribosomal RNA
Source: RNAcentral